GCGCCAGUAGCUCAGUGGAUAGAGCGGGUGGCUUCGGACCACCAGGCCGCGGGUUCGAAUCCUGCCUGGCGCGCCA
This 76-nucleotide transfer RNA is filed under the name Chloroflexota bacterium. RNAcentral's name for it is "tRNA-Arg". It matches the Rfam family "tRNA". From Rfam's summary of the family: Transfer RNA (tRNA) molecules are approximately 80 nucleotides in length. Their secondary structure includes four short double-helical elements and three loops (D, anti-codon, and T loops). Further hydrogen bonds mediate the characteristic L-shaped molecular structure. tRNAs have two regions of fundamental functional importance: the anti-codon, which is responsible for specific mRNA codon recognition, and the 3' end, to which the tRNAs corresponding amino acid is attached (by aminoacyl-tRNA synthetases). tRNAs cope with the degeneracy of the genetic code in two manners: having more than one tRNA (with a specific anti-codon) for a particular amino acid; and 'wobble' base-pairing, i.e. permitting non-standard base-pairing at the 3rd anti-codon position. Lineage: Bacteria; Bacillati; Chloroflexota. The record is from RNAcentral.